This is a long non-coding RNA of Oncorhynchus keta (chum salmon), 404 nucleotides long. RefSeq lists it as uncharacterized. The transcript is spliced from 3 exons. The record is from RefSeq and is a predicted model, not a curated record. Lineage: Eukaryota; Metazoa; Chordata; Actinopteri; Salmoniformes; Salmonidae.
GCUACGUUCGGUUGGAUACUGUACACACAGACAGCAUACACACCCUGCUACGUUCGGUUGGAUACUGUACACACAGACAGCAUACACACCCUGCUACGUUCGGUUGGAUACUGUACACACAGACAGCAUACACACCCUGCUACGUUCGGUUGGAUACUGUACACACAGACAGCAUACACACCCUGCUACGUUCGGUUGGAUACUGUACACACAGACAGCAUACACACCCUGCUACGUUCGGUUGGAUACUGUACACACAGACAGCAUACACACCCUGCUACGUUCGGUUGGAUACUGUACACACAGACAGCAUACACACCCUGCUACGUUCGGUUGGAUACUGUACACACAGACAGCAUACACACCCUGCUACGUUCGGUUGGAUACUGUACACACAGACAGCA